Small nuclear RNA from Lactuca sativa (garden lettuce), 120 nucleotides. RefSeq annotates it as U5 spliceosomal RNA. The record is from RefSeq and is a predicted model, not a curated record. Lineage: Eukaryota; Viridiplantae; Streptophyta; Magnoliopsida; Asterales; Asteraceae.
AACCAUGUGGUGAGCACAAAGCGAACUAUUCUUUUGCCUUUUGCUAAUGAAUACCGUGUGCUCUCUAUAUAUAAUGGCAUACACCUAUUUUUGGAGAGUCUCUUCCUUCAUUGAAAGGCU